GAUGAAGAACGUAGUGAAAUGCGAUAAGUAAUGUGAAUUGCAGAACUCAGUGAAUCAUCGAAUCUUUGAACGCACAUUGCGCCCCCUGGUAUUCCGGGGGGCAUGCCUGUCCGAGCGUCAUUGCUGCCCUCAAGCACGGCUUGUGUGUUGGGCCUCCGUCCUCCUCCCGGGGGACGGGCCCGAAAGGCAGCGGCGGCACCGCGUCCGGUCCUCGAGCGUAUGGGGCUUCGUCACCCGCUCUUGUAGGCCCGGCCGGCGCUUGCCGACACAUCAAUCUUUUUUCAGGUUGACCUCGGAUCAGGUAGGGAUACCCGCUGAACUUAAGCAUAUCAAUAAGCGGAGGA
Molecule: unclassified non-coding RNA, 344 nt
Filed under: soil metagenome
Description: partial contains 5.8S ribosomal RNA, internal transcribed spacer 2, and large subunit ribosomal RNA
Rfam family: 5.8S ribosomal RNA (bases 1-120)
Source: RNAcentral